RNAcentral lists this ribosomal RNA (324 nucleotides) under uncultured bacterium. RNAcentral describes it as "partial 16S ribosomal RNA". It matches the Rfam family "Bacterial small subunit ribosomal RNA", at positions 596 to 918 of the family's 1533-position model. The record is from RNAcentral.
AUACGUAGGGGGCUCAACUCCAGACUGGCAUCUAAAACUGCACAUCUUGAGUGUCAGAGGGGAAAGUGGAAUUCCUGGUGGAGCGGUAAAAUGCGUAGAGAUCAGGAGGAACACCGGUGGCGAAGGCGACUUUCUGGCUGACAACUGACGCUGAGGCGCGAAAGCGUGGGGAGCGAACAGGAUUAGAUACCCUGGUAGUCCACGCCGUAAACGAUGAUUACUAGGUGUAGGGGGUAUCGACUCCCUCUGUGCCGCAGUUAACGCAUUAAGUAAUCCACCUGGGGAGUACGGCCGCAAGGUUAAAACUCAAAUGAAUUGACGGGG